Non-coding RNA from Salvelinus sp. IW2-2015, 244 nucleotides. NCBI's taxonomy places the organism in Eukaryota, Metazoa, Chordata, Actinopteri, Salmoniformes, Salmonidae. The record is from RefSeq and is a predicted model, not a curated record.
AGCAUCGCCAUGCUGGAUAAGACCAAGGAAUUCUUCCAGACCUGCGAUGUGGAGGGCAAAGGCUUCAUUACACGCAGCGAUAUGAGGAGGCUUCACAGAGAACUACCCCUCACUGCUGAAGAACUGGGAAUGUCUUUGACUCCCUAGAUACCGACCAGAACGGCUACCUCACCCUCGAAGUGUUCUCAUCAGGAUUCAGUCAGUUCCUGCACGGCCGGAGGAUCUCUGUAGCCGAGGACGCAGC